CCCCUUGGCCAGGGCCAUCUUGUCUGCUCCUUACUGUACAUGUGGCUGGCAGAGAAGGGAAGGUGGAGCCGCUAUUUUGAACAUGAUUGGCACAACUGCCAGCAUCUAUAUCUGCAGCUUGAUUUUACAGGCUGCUCUUUGUUAGAAAGGAACAUGAUUUGGGGCUACUUUUCAUUAAAAGGAAAACUGUACCGAAGACUUCCAUACCCUCACUAUCUGUGAUCCCAUCUUGGAUACCACAUUACCUUAAACACUGCCUCAGCCAGGUGAUCAAGGUCAACGUCUACUGUGAUAAGUCAUGGUUUUGGUGUGUACCCUUGAUGUGAUGUGAUAAAAAUGGCACUUUACCUCUGUGGUCUUCCUCUGAAAAAUCCCGUAACAGCAGCCUAAUCAUGAGAAGCAUAUCAACAAAACUCAGACUCAGGGACAUUCUACAAAAUACCAGGCUGUCCCUCCCUGAAAUUGUCAAGUUCACCAAAAACAAGGUGAAUCUAAGAAACCUGUUACAGCCAAGAGGAGCCUAAGAAGACAUGAGGACUAAAUAUAACAUGGAAUUCGGGAUAGGAUUGUGCUACAGAAAAUGUAUGUGCUAAUGUGAGAUGUUAACAGUUGGAGAAACUCAGUUUUGGGUAUAAGGAAUUCUCUGUACUAUGUUUAUCUAAAAACAAUUCCAUGGUGAGCAAACUUAAGCAUAGAAAUGUUAAAUAAAUUGUCCAAAAUAGAGAAGUAAAUAGCAGUGCCAGGUUUCAAGCAUAAGAAUCAUCAACUCUGAACUUUAAACACAGCUCUGUAUGGUACUUUUGUUUAUAUCAAUGCCUAGAUAGAUAAAUAGGUAGAUAGAUAAUUUCCAAGUGCUAGAAACAAAAAAGGAACUAAAACUGAUAAAGAAUAUAAAUGAGGCCAGGCAGGGUGGCUCACACCUGUAAUCCCAGCAUUUUGGGAGGCCGAGGCAGGCAGAUCACUGAAGGUUCGGAGUUCAAGACCAGCCUGGCCAACUGGGGAAACCCUGUCUCUACUAAAAAAAAAAAAAAAUAGCCAGGCAUGGUGGCAUGUGCCUGUGAAGCAAGAGAUGUGAGAGGAAAAACAAAUUUUUCCUCUUUCUUUUGGUAUGGGCAGCUUCCCCCUUGAAUCCCUCCUCACUCCUUGUGAUUUUACCCUGCUCUGUAAGUUUUAUGAGUUUAUAGAUUCCUGUUUUCUGUAACUAGUGUCUGUAAGUCUCUGUAGCACCGUGGAGGUAAUGAGACAUGCUUGAGCAAGCUUAGAUUGCAGCCAUCUGGGCGCCAUAGCGAAGGACACGAGAUAAGGCUGUGCAGGCAUCUUGAGCAAACCUAGAUAACAGCCACCUGGCCUGCACAGCAAGAAUCAUGUGUAAGCUUGAGUUAGGAACCUGUCACAGUUUGAUUAACUGCCUUUGUUCUGCUUCUGUAAGCUUGCUUUCCACACCCCACAAGCUUUGCGCCACUGGCAAGCCACCCUCCUUCAGUUGCAUGAAUAAAAGUCAAGCCCUGUCUUCUUUUGUUGCUCAGCCUCUGGAUAUUAAUCCACUAAGCCAGUGGCAACCUAAAUAAAAUCCUCCUGUUCCACCCA
Molecule: long non-coding RNA, 1587 nt
Filed under: Homo sapiens (human)
Lineage: Eukaryota; Metazoa; Chordata; Mammalia; Primates; Hominidae
Description: long intergenic non-protein coding RNA 1886
Source: RNAcentral